GAAACUUCUCAACCACAAGAUAUGUGGCUUGGAAAUGGGGGAUUUUGCUGCAGGAUAAAUCAAUCUGCUCCCCUGAAACAUAUUAGUGGUUGGACUUAUCCACAGGUGUGAUAACUAAUCAAUGCCUUGGGUAUAUGGCCCUACUGCUUCCAACUUUUUAAAUUUUGACCA
RNAcentral lists this unclassified non-coding RNA (171 nucleotides) under uncultured Inocybe. RNAcentral's name for it is "sequence contains ITS2". The record is from RNAcentral. Lineage: Eukaryota; Fungi; Basidiomycota; Agaricomycetes; Agaricales; Cortinariaceae.